RNAcentral lists this non-coding RNA (168 nucleotides) under pig gut metagenome. RNAcentral's name for it is "Lysine riboswitch". It matches the Rfam family "Lysine riboswitch aptamer". From Rfam's summary of the family: Riboswitches are metabolite binding domains within certain messenger RNAs that serve as precision sensors for their corresponding targets. Allosteric rearrangement of mRNA structure is mediated by ligand binding, and this results in modulation of gene expression. This family includes riboswitches that sense lysine in a number of genes involved in lysine metabolism, including lysC. The record is from RNAcentral.
UGUGGUAGAGGUGCAUCGAUUAUCAGUACACUGUGGGAUAUGACAGGACAUAGGUGAACACAGAGGAAAGGAUGAGAUGCCGAAGCGGCGGUUGCCUGGGAAUCGUCUGCUGGGGCCGGGGUGAACAGCUCCGGGACUGUCAUCAUGUAUUUGAUGGAGGGCUACCGG